GGCAGUUCUCACACUCCAAGCACAUAGAGUAAGCCUUGGGCUGGUGCAUGCUCUGUCAACUCACAAAUAAUUGAUAACGACAACCAGGGCCUACACCCAUCAGUACCUAGGUGCUCUUUACGCUGGUUAUAUACAUUGUUUGGGAGUGUGCCAAGCAGGGUACAUGGGUUAGGGGGCGCAAUACAUGCUUUGCUCCGGGUGCUGGUAACCCACACUACGCCACUGCAUGAUACUCUGAGCCCAAACCUUAGCUUAGCACAGUGCAGGAGCGAAAAGGACAGCGAAGGAGCAAAGCAGCUAGGAGGUGCUCAGAGAGAUUACACAUGUUUGGCUUACCGAGUUGUGAGAACUAAGCCGAUGACACAAAUAAGUGGUGAGGCAUCUUCCUAUCACAAUCUCUACUUGCUUGGGGAGGGGGGUGGGUAAAGACAGCAAGUGGCAGGAAGUCAAGAGAAAACACUGACCUGGCUAGAGGCCUAAGGGAGCAUCAGUCAAGGAAAUGAUGUUACUCAUAAGAAAGAGGAUUAAUGUUAAUGAUUACACUUUAUUUAUCAGAAAAAGAGCAUAAAGGGUUAUGCACGAGUGGUGCGUGUUACCUGGGCUCAUCAAGAGAAUGUACUUUAGAGGCUGAGGCAGCAGGCUUAUUUGUAGUGGUUCAGCUGAGUUUAUUGAGUUAAGCACAUGCUAAUAUAUGAAAGGACCCUAGUCUGUGGCCAGAGUCCCUAAUACGUUGGGACCAUAUGCAGGAAAGAUUUGCCAAAUAUAUGGAUAAUUGUAUAAGGAUGGAGGUUUGUGUCAGACCAUUUGCAAAGAUUCUUGAAGGUAUGAGGCAUCCUCCUUGUUUUAAAUUCAAUGUGUAGGAUGAUUGAGUCAUUAGAACAAUUUUUUUAGCGUGCAUUGUCACCAGAAAAUGGAGCCUUCAAAAAUCAAAUGCAAUCUACAUCACUGAGGGAAAGUGGAGGAAGGGGGAAUAUAUUAUGUUUGACUCACUUCAAACAUAAAAUAAAUUCUAUGCUACACAAGCAUUUCAUUAAUUAUUUUUAUAGAAUCAGCACAGUGGUAGCUCAGGUUACAGAUGCUUCAGGUUACAGAUGCUUCAGGUUACAGACUCCACUAACCCAGAAAUAGUACCUUGGGUUAAGAACUUUGCUUCAGGAUGAGAACAGAAAUUGGGCGGCAGCAGCACAGCGGCAGUGGGAGGCCCCAUUAGCUAAAGUGGUACCUCAGGUUAAGAACGGACCUCCAGAACGAAUUAAAUUUUUAACCAGAGGUACCACUGUACUUAUGUUCACUUUCCUGCAAACUGUAUCAUGGCUCUCUUGACCAGGAGAAAUGGGAGUCCGUCUCAUUCUUUGUCGGGCCUAAACAUUAGAAAAUCUUCAAGACUAGGUAUGCAAAGAUCUGAUUCUUUAUAGCAGGAGAAAAUGGUAAUGUUAAUGACCCAUUGUGAAUCCACAUCAACAUUCCCUAAGGCUGCAAUCCUAGGCACACUUAUUUGGAAGUAGACUGCAUUAAACUCAAUCCUUCAGAAUAAACAUGCAUACCAUCAGACAGUUCCUUUAACUAACUCUACAUAUUACCCUCCCCAUCCCUAAAUGCUUUUUUCAAACAUAUGACACACUUAAUUUUAAAAGAGAUAAAUGAAAGAUGCAAUGAGAUAUUUGGUGGUUUGGUGGAAGGAAAAAUUGCUGGACGACCACCCCUUCUCCAAUUCUCUGGUAAAUAAAACAUUUAAUAAAAAAGAACUAAGGUUGAUAAAUCACAGAGAGACUUAUUCUCAAAGUAUUAGUAGUGGGUAGGGCUCAUUGGCUUAGUUGGGGCACCAGGCAAAAAGGAAUCUUAGGAAUGUAGUGAAAAUAUUUUAGAGCAGUUUAUUUGACAUAUUUCAUACCAUCAUGGUGAAAAUAUUAUGCUGCACACUGAAAAAGUAAUAAAGUCCCAUUGCUGAAAGCUCAAUUUAUUUUGUCUGUUAAACCUUUACUGAGAAGCAGAGAUUCUAUUGUUUAUGAACAUGGUACUAAGUAUAUAGAUUUUGUGAGUAAUUAUUAGUAAGGCUAUGAAAGUCAAAUAUAUUGAUAGAAAUUAGAACCUCCAAGGAAACAUUAUUGUGACAUGCAGAUAACUGUUUCCUGAAAUUUUAUUCUCUUGUGUGCUUAUGUGACUAUGAUAACUGAACAUAUGGAGAUUAGGAUGAGUGUAGGAGUCAAAGUGUUUAUCUCUAACUAACAGCUCUAUAAAAUUAACAAAUAAAAGUUUCAGCCUUACUCAUACAGACCAUUUAGCUUAACAGCUUUCAUGUAUUAUCCAUAUGAAAAUGCUGGGGACCAAGGAAAAAGAGAAAUAUAUAUAUAACAAUCGUCAUCUUAUUUCAGGAGAAGCUCUUCUGUCUAACUGGUGGAUUCAGGAAAAAACCAAACCAUAUCUUUUUGGUAAGGAGUGCUAGCUUUUGUGGUUUCUAAGCACUGAGAAUCAAGUCUACAAAAAUCCAACAGUAGGACUGCCAUCUUUCUUUCUAUCUAUCCUGAUAUUCAGGAGUUCAUUAAUGAAGUUUAUAGAGGUGAAGUGAUAGGAAAGGCAGCUGCUGCUAAAUUUCUAUCAGAUGAAAUUUACUGCAAAUUUGGGAAAACAUCCUCCAAAAAUCAUGGGAGUUCUACCACACUGGAACUGAAAAUCUGGCUGCAAUUCAUUUACCUGAGCAUAAGCCUUCCUGAAUUCAAUGUGACUUAUUUUUGAGUAGCGAUAUAUAGUAGGGUGGUUCA
Podarcis lilfordi (Lilford's wall lizard) is the source of this 2759-nucleotide non-coding RNA. The record is from the annotation of a GenBank genome assembly. Lineage: Eukaryota; Metazoa; Chordata; Lepidosauria; Squamata; Lacertidae.